This 192-nucleotide microRNA precursor is filed under the name Trifolium pratense (red clover). RNAcentral's name for it is "pre miRNA MIR408". Lineage: Eukaryota; Viridiplantae; Streptophyta; Magnoliopsida; Fabales; Fabaceae. The record is from RNAcentral.
GAGAGUUGAAGAUAAUAAGAAGGGGAAGAAGACAAAUGGUGCUGCUAAUGCCUUGACAGUUGGGCUAGCUACUGUUGUUUCUAUGGCAGCCAAAAAAGCUGUUGAUGAUGUUACGAACAGUAUCUAGCCAAGCUGCCAAGGCAUCAGCAGCACCAUUUGUCUUCUUCCCCUUCUUAUUAUCUUCAACUCUCU